CUACUGCUGAAGAGUCCCAAACUAGGACGAAACAGGUGUCCAAUAC
This 46-nucleotide non-coding RNA is filed under the name Trichobilharzia regenti. The record is from RNAcentral. Lineage: Eukaryota; Metazoa; Platyhelminthes; Trematoda; Strigeidida; Schistosomatidae.